GGAGGGGUGGUCGAGUGGUUGAUGGCUCCAGUCUUGAAAACUGGCAGGGCGCAAGCCCUCGUGGGUUCGAAUCCCACCCCCUCCG
RNAcentral lists this transfer RNA (85 nucleotides) under Verrucomicrobiota bacterium. RNAcentral describes it as "tRNA-Ser". It matches the Rfam family "tRNA". From Rfam's summary of the family: Transfer RNA (tRNA) molecules are approximately 80 nucleotides in length. Their secondary structure includes four short double-helical elements and three loops (D, anti-codon, and T loops). The record is from RNAcentral. RNAcentral also lists the same sequence under 3 other names. Lineage: Bacteria; Pseudomonadati; Verrucomicrobiota.